GUAGGUGGCAAGCGUUGUCCGGAAUUAUUGGGCGUAAAGACGCGCGCAGGUGGUUCUUUAAGUCUGAUGUGAAAGCCCCCGGCUCAACCGGGGAGGGUCAUUGGAAACUGGGGAACUUGAGUGCAGGAGAGGAAAGUGGAAUUCCACGUGUAGCGGUGAAAUGCGUAGAUAUGUGGAGGAACACCAGUGGCGAAGGCGACUUUCUGGCCUGUAACUGACACUGAGGCGCGAAAGCGUGGGGAGCAAACAGGAUUAGAUACCCUGGUAGUCCACGCCGUAAACGAUGAGUGCUAAGUGUUGGGGGGUUUCCGCCCCUCAGUGCUGCAGCUAACGCAUUAAGCACUCCGCCUGGGGAGUACGGUCGCAAAGACUG
This 373-nucleotide ribosomal RNA is filed under the name uncultured organism. RNAcentral's name for it is "partial 16S ribosomal RNA". It matches the Rfam family "Bacterial small subunit ribosomal RNA", at positions 527 to 896 of the family's 1533-position model. The record is from RNAcentral.